AGAGUUUGAUCCUGGCUCAGAUUGAACGCUGGCGGCAGGCCUAACACAUGCAAGUCGAGCGAGAAAGCACUUCGGUGCGAGUACAGCGGCGGACGGGUGAGUAACGCGUAGGAAUCUACCUGGUAGUGGGGGACAACAUGGGGAAACUCAUGCUAAUACCGCAUACGCCCUAUGGGGGAAAGUGGGGGACCUUCGGGCCUCACGCUAUCGGAUGAGCCUGCGUAGGAUUAGCUUGUUGGUGAGGUAAAGGCUCACCAAGGCGACGAUCCUUAGCUGGUCUGAGAGGAUGAUCAGCCACACUGGAACUGAGACACGGUCCAGACUCCUACGGGAGGCAGCAGUGGGGAAUAUUGCGCAAUGGGGGCAACCCUGACGCAGCCAUGCCGCGUGUGUGAAGAAGGCCUUCGGGUUGUAAAGCACUUUCAAUUGGGAAGAAAAGCUCAUCGUGAAUAGCGGUGAGCCCUGACAUUACCUUUAGAAGAAGCACCGCUAACU
Molecule: ribosomal RNA, 495 nt
Filed under: uncultured bacterium
Lineage: Bacteria
Description: bacterial SSU rRNA
Rfam family: Bacterial small subunit ribosomal RNA
Source: RNAcentral